UACGUAGGGUGCGAGCGUUGUCCGGAAUUAUUGGGCGUAAAGAGCUUGUAGGCGGUUUGUCGCGUCUGCCGUGAAAGCCCAGGGCUUAACCCUGGGUCUGCGGUGGGUACGGGCAGACUAGAGUGUGGUAGGGGAGACUGGAAUUCCUGGUGUAGCGGUGAAAUGCGCAGAUAUCAGGAGGAACACCGAUGGCGAAGGCAGGUCUCUGGGCCACUACUGACGCCGAGAAGCGAAAGCAUGGGGAGCAAACAGG
This 253-nucleotide ribosomal RNA is filed under the name uncultured bacterium. RNAcentral describes it as "partial 16S ribosomal RNA". It matches the Rfam family "Bacterial small subunit ribosomal RNA", at positions 524 to 776 of the family's 1533-position model. The record is from RNAcentral.